GUCUCAGGCCGUAUCAGCCUGAAGGCGCCCGAUCUCGUCUGAUCUCGGAAGCUAAGCAGGGUCGGGCCUGGUUAGUAUCUUGGAUGGGAGACCACCUGGGAAUCCCGGGUGCGCCGAGGCU
This 121-nucleotide ribosomal RNA is filed under the name Bison bison bison. Lineage: Eukaryota; Metazoa; Chordata; Mammalia; Artiodactyla; Bovidae. The record is from RNAcentral.